RNAcentral lists this ribosomal RNA (466 nucleotides) under uncultured bacterium. RNAcentral's name for it is "partial 16S ribosomal RNA". It matches the Rfam family "Bacterial small subunit ribosomal RNA", at positions 28 to 507 of the family's 1533-position model. The record is from RNAcentral.
GAUGAACGCUGGCGGCGUGCUUAACACAUGCAAGUCGAACGAUGAAGCUCAGCUUGCUGGGUGGAUUAGUUGCGAACGGGUGAGUAACACGUGAGUAACCUGGCCUUAACUCUGGGAUAAGCCUGGGAAACUGGGUCUAAUACCGUAAAGGCGCGGCUACCGCAUGUGGGGUGUUGGCAAGAUUGUACGGGUUUGGAGGGGUUGGCGGCGUAUCAGCUUGUUGGUGUGGUUAGGUCGCACCAAGGCGACGACGGGCAGCCGGGCUGGGAGGGUGACCGGCCACACCAGGACUGGACCGCGGCCCAGCCCCCACCGGGACGCAGCGGUGGAGAAUAUUGCACCAUGGGAGCAAGCCUGAUGCGGCGCAGCCGCGUGGGGGAUGACGGCCUUCGGGUUGUAAACCUAUUUCAGUAGGGAAGAAGCGAUAGUGACGGUACCUGCAGAAGAAGCACCGGCUAACUACGUG